This 76-nucleotide transfer RNA is filed under the name Verrucomicrobiales bacterium. RNAcentral's name for it is "tRNA-His". It matches the Rfam family "tRNA". From Rfam's summary of the family: Transfer RNA (tRNA) molecules are approximately 80 nucleotides in length. Their secondary structure includes four short double-helical elements and three loops (D, anti-codon, and T loops). Further hydrogen bonds mediate the characteristic L-shaped molecular structure. tRNAs have two regions of fundamental functional importance: the anti-codon, which is responsible for specific mRNA codon recognition, and the 3' end, to which the tRNAs corresponding amino acid is attached (by aminoacyl-tRNA synthetases). tRNAs cope with the degeneracy of the genetic code in two manners: having more than one tRNA (with a specific anti-codon) for a particular amino acid; and 'wobble' base-pairing, i.e. permitting non-standard base-pairing at the 3rd anti-codon position. Lineage: Bacteria; Pseudomonadati; Verrucomicrobiota; Verrucomicrobiia; Verrucomicrobiales. The record is from RNAcentral.
GUGGUCGUAGCUCAGUUGGUAGAGCCCCAGAUUGUGGUUCUGGUUGUCGCCGGUUCGAGUCCGGUCGAUCACCCCA